This 301-nucleotide ribosomal RNA is filed under the name uncultured bacterium. RNAcentral's name for it is "partial 16S ribosomal RNA". It matches the Rfam family "Bacterial small subunit ribosomal RNA", at positions 509 to 809 of the family's 1533-position model. The record is from RNAcentral.
CAGUCGCCGCGGUAAUACGUAGGGCGCAAGCGUUGUCCGGAAUUAUUGGGCGUAAAGAGCUCGUAGGCGGUCUGUCGCGUCUGGUGUGAAAUCCCGAGGCUCAACCUCGGGCUUGCAUCGGGUACGGGCAGACUAGAGUGCGGUAGGGGAGACUGGAAUUCCUGGUGUAGCGGUGGAAUGCGCAGAUAUCAGGAGGAACACCGAUGGCGAAGGCAGGUCUCUGGGCCGCAACUGACGCUGAGGAGCGAAAGCAUGGGGAGCGAACAGGAUUAGAUACCCCGGUAGUCCCUGUCUCUUAUAA